AGCGGGAGUUUCUCAAAGCAAAAGCCUUCACGGCAUUUUAGAACGGCUGCAUGAGCUGGGGGAAAAUAAUGUUUCCUAUUAAUUCUGCAGCUGGCUUUCUCUCUCUCCUCUCCAAGCCUCAUUAAUGGCAAAGCUGCCUUCUCUCUCUUCGGUCCGCCCCGAUCUUCACUUUCACAGGAAGAGCAAAUAUUCCCGUGUCCGGAAAAACAAACAAAGUACACUUCGUGGAACAAAGAGCGAACACAAACUCAUCCUGAAAUAGUUCUCUCAAGUUUUGCUUCAAGUAUUUUCAAGCUCUGUUAAGCACAUACAUUUAUAAUUGUUUUCUCGAUGAAGAGGAUUGAAAAGUGAACACUAGGAAGAAUAUCUUAAGAAUACCCUUAGAUGAGUAAUCAUCGAAUGUGUCCUGUCCUGGUUCCUUCAGGGAAGAAACUGGAUAAGCCCACCUGGGAUCACAGAGCAGCAGCUUCCCAAUCUCGAAUUCUUUGAUAUAUUAACUAAUAGAUGGCAGAAUUUGUUCUUCUCUCAAGGAUAUAAAACUAGAAAUAUUUGAAAAUGUCCAAGCUAAUCUUGUCUCAUUUUGCAAGCAGUAGAAUUUUAUAUAUAUAUACAUACAUAUAUACACACACACACACAUAUAUAUGUGUGUGUGUGUGUGUGUGUGUGUGUGUAUGUAGGAGACAUCAUGAAAAAUCCAAGCUAGUUGUAACUAUUAAGAAAGUCUUGGUCAGAAUAUGUUUUUAAACUCAAGACGAAGUGUUAUUUACACGUUCGUAAUUAAAUUUAGUGAGGAAAGCAAUGUUCCAUGAAAACAAAACAAUAAAAAGAACUCUAUAUUCCCUUUCUGUUUUGACUAAGUUUUGAAGACUUCUGAAACUCCAAACUGUGAGGAGACUUGGGUCUUAAUGGUGCAGGACAAGGCAAAUCACCCCAAGUGGGCACUCAAGUCCCGCACCAGGAGAAAAGGGGCGGGUCCUUGACUGCGCGCAGGAAAGAAAGUACACGCCAGAGUUAGAGACAAAAUCAAAGUUUAUUAGAGAAGGACUGUGGGAUUAAUUCAAACAGCCUCUCCCGGACACGGGAGGCAAAGAAGCCUGCUGAGUCAGCAGCCUCAAGGAGGACAAUGAACAAAGCGCUCCUGGGCUGUGCUUGUCCCCAAGGACACUUCUCGUUUCUCCCAUGGGCACGAUCUGCCCCUUUGGCCGUUCCCAUGGACAUUAUCUCCCUGCUCUGCUCGAGGUCCUGCGGAACACUAGGGAGGCAGCACGUCUGGUUCUCAUCUGCAGAGGGAAGACCCUUCCUCCCCGGGAUGAGGCAAUCCCUCUCCCCUUCUGCUGGCAUAUAAAACAGUGGCUGCUCUUGGCCAUAUAUCUUUUCCUGCAGCUCCAACCGACCAAAUGCUGAGGCCUCCUUGUAUUGUAAUAAACAGCACUUCUCACCC
Molecule: long non-coding RNA, 1441 nt
Organism: Pteropus alecto (black flying fox)
Lineage: Eukaryota; Metazoa; Chordata; Mammalia; Chiroptera; Pteropodidae
Exons: 2
Source: RefSeq, a predicted model, not a curated record